UACAGAGGUCCCAAGCGUUGUUCGGAUUCAUUGGGCGUAAAGGGUGCGUAGGUGGCAUGGUAAGUCGGGUGUGAAAUCCCGGGGCUCAACCCCGGAACUGCACUCGAUACUACCGUGCUCGAGUACUGGAGAGGAGACUGGAAUUUACGGUGUAGCAGUGAAAUGCGUAGAUAUCGUAAGGAAGACCGGUGGCGAAGGCUAGUCUCUGGACAGUUACUGACACUGAGGCACGAAGGCCAGGGGAGCAAACGGG
Molecule: ribosomal RNA, 253 nt
Filed under: uncultured bacterium
Lineage: Bacteria
Description: partial 16S ribosomal RNA
Rfam family: Bacterial small subunit ribosomal RNA
Source: RNAcentral